GCGAACGCUGGCGGCAGGCUUAACACAUGCAAGUCGAGCGGGCGUAGCAAUACGGCAGCGGCAGACGGGUGAGUAACACGUGGGAACGUACCUUUUGGUUCGGAACAACACAGGGAAACUUGUGCUAAUACCGGAUAAGCCCUUACGGGGAAAGAUUUAUCGCCAUAAGAUCGGCCCGCGUCUGAUUAGCUAGUUGGUGAGGUAACGGCUCACCAAGGCGACGAUCAGUAGCUGGUCUGAGAGGAUGAUCAGCAACAUUGGGACUGAGACACGGCCCAAACUCCUACGGGAGGCAGCAGUGGGGAAUAUUGGACAAUGGGCGAAAGCCUGAUCCAGCCAUGCCGCGUGAGUGAUGAAGGCCUUAGGGUUGUAAAGCUCUUUUGUGCGGGAAGAUAAUGACGGUACCGGAAGAAUAAGCCCCGGCUAACUUCGU
Molecule: ribosomal RNA, 433 nt
Filed under: uncultured bacterium
Lineage: Bacteria
Description: bacterial SSU rRNA
Rfam family: Bacterial small subunit ribosomal RNA
Source: RNAcentral